This 749-nucleotide long non-coding RNA is filed under the name Sus scrofa (pig). Its description in RNAcentral is "lncRNA (ENSSSCG00070013888.1)". Lineage: Eukaryota; Metazoa; Chordata; Mammalia; Artiodactyla; Suidae. The record is from RNAcentral.
GGUGGACGUCACAUGUGCAGCUCAGCUGUUGUGCUGAGAAUUGCUGACACGAGCAGUUCCAACCAGGAAAGCAGAGCUGCUUCCCACGGACAGAUUUUGGGGGUGGGUAGCAGGGACCCUCCUGACGGCUUGCUUCUGGGAUGUAGGAUGCAUUACGGAAAUCAUGAGCCUGUGUCCAGGCGUGGUCUCCUUUUCAUAGACCUGGGUACUGUGGCAACAUCCACCCCACCCCCCCCCCGCCCCCGCCGCAAGGCUGCCUUUUGGCUGCUGGCUGUGCCAUGGAAUGGAGCAUAUGUAUUUCUGCAUAUUUCCACUUUUGUGGUUUCAGUUCCAGGCUUUCAAAUUUUUUUUUCUUUUUUUCAGGAGAGAUCAGAGACAUACAGACUGUACUUCCUUCUGCGACACAGAAUUCGCACCUACUUGCUGAAUGGAAAACUUCCGUACAGGAAGGAACACCUCCCAAAGAUACACAAGAAUGGAUUUUAGCAGGAUAGAUGUUCCUCAAAAAACCAGAAAUAGACCUGCUAUAGGAUCCAGCCAUCCCACUCCCGGGCAUCUAUCCAGAGAAAACCAUGACUCGCAAAGACUCAUGUACUCUGAUGUUCAUUGCAGCACUAUUUAUAAUAGUCAAGACAUGGAAACAACCUAAAUGUCCAUCAACAGAGGAGUGGAUCCAGAAGAUGUGCUCCACAUAGACAAUGGAAUACUACGCAGCCAUUAAAAAGAAUAAAGUAACAUGAUUUGGAGCA